UCUGGAUGCAGUGGUGCACACCUGUAAUCUCAGUGACUUGGGAGGCUGAGGCAGGAGGCUCAUGAGUUUGAGACCAACCUCAGCAAUUUAGUGAGACCCUGCCUCAA
Molecule: small RNA, 107 nt
Filed under: Marmota monax (woodchuck)
Lineage: Eukaryota; Metazoa; Chordata; Mammalia; Rodentia; Sciuridae
Source: RNAcentral